RNAcentral lists this long non-coding RNA (744 nucleotides) under Mytilus galloprovincialis (Mediterranean mussel). The record is from RNAcentral. Lineage: Eukaryota; Metazoa; Mollusca; Bivalvia; Mytilida; Mytilidae.
GGGUCAAGGACAAGAACUGUGCAAUUGGGUAAAUAAAUUUAAAUAAUGCAACAAAUGCUCUACAGAUUCCUGAAAAGAAGUUAUUUAAAGAAUGUUGUAUCAAUAGCGAGACGGAUAUAAAUCGUUUCCCUGUCCGAACACGGUUGUGUAGUUGUAUAUCAUAAACAUUUUGAACACUCAACUUCAGUAUCGGAUUUUAUCAUGAACAUAGAACAGGAAACGUCAAUGUAACAAUACAUUUAAUAACCGGGAAACUCUUGAGGUUUGGAGAAAAGAUAAAAUGAAAUCAUUUAUGCAUGGAACUUUUAAAAGACGAGUCGUUUUCAUUUAAACGUAUACUUUAAACGCGUAUGAUGGGGGAAGGAUGCAAAUACACUCCUAGUUUGGGAUUAUUUUUUUUUCGAAAUAGUUCCCUAUUUUGACAAUUACUUUCAACGCAACAGUAACUUAAGUAGAAAAUCGAAAAAUUCAUAUCAAUUUUAGCAAGGAAAAGACAACAGCAUUUAUUAUUUCUAAUUGGAUGUUUUAUUGCCAUCUCAUUUUAUAGAUGAGGAAUCAUAACACUGGACUUCUUUUGAAUUAUGACAUUUAUACGUAUCAAUAAUGAGGCAUUUGAAAAGUAUAUUCGUAAUUUAAUGAUUAUUAACAACUUGAUCUGCAUUCAUACGCAAUCUUCACCUCCUCAAAAUGAUACCGAACUCCGAGGAAACUUCAAAAUGGAAAGUCCUUUAUCAAAUGGCAAAA